GAAAGCAGCCCAGAUUAGCUAAACGAUACAUCAUAGUGGAACAAUUCUACUGUUAAAGAUUAUGCAGAUGUUAUGAUGGAGGCAAAGAAAGACUUUCUUUAGCUACAGCACAGCUGCUGCAAACAACUUCAAAAAGACUUGGCACAGGACUUCAGCCACAAAACUUCCCCCUCGCUUCAUUUCAUGCAUGUCAUCUGAAACUACAGCAAGCUGCACCAAGGACAAAGCUAACACGAGGGGAGUUUAGAACAUCUUAUCAGUAGGGCAGUUCCUUGCACUGCCAAUACUCAAAUGCACCUUCACAAAACUCAGCUAUACUGCUCCAUUCCUUCUCAAUUUAGCAAUCUGUUAUGAAAAAGAAAAGAAAAGAAAACAAAACAAAACACAACACAACAUUAAUGGUACGGCAGACUGCUGUAUCUCUUAUUUAUACUUGCAUUACCUUCUACUUCAGGGAUGACAACCAUAUAUAUUAAAUCUUCAAAAAAAUAGCCAAAAUAUAUAUUUUUUAAUUAUCUAUUGAAGUAAAAUUAGAAAGUGCUAUCAGUUUCAGUUCACAUUCUUCAUUACCUAUACACUGAGCUACUCCGAACCAACAAGUAUCCAGACCAUGCAGCUGACUAUAACAGCUUACAAUCACAUUGAAUGUUUAUUUAAUGCCAGUCUUGCAUUUUCUACAACACGUAUGCACCACAAAGAAAUUGUAUAUUCAGUGCCUAAAUUCCAACUUCAGCUUUUAUUUUUAAAUCCUGAACAAAAAAUGGGCCAAAACAUUGCUACCCAAAAAGAACCAGCAUUGAUUUUUUAUAUUUAACAGUAAAGCACAAACAAUUUAAUUUUGUAUUAACAUUAUACUUAGUUGUGAUUUCCUUUAAUUGAUUAUAUUGGUAGGAAACAUACCUAAGAAAACUACUUUAAGAUGUGUGCAUGUGCAUGACAUUAAAUUAAUGCAUUUCUGAUGCAUAUGAACAGAAUCUUAGAAACUAUAUUAAAACGUUGCCUUUUUCUUAUUUUAUUAAUUCAUAGCAUGUCAGCUCUUUGACAUUUAAGACCCUCUCAGCUUCUAUCACAUGAGGUCAUAAACUGAUUUGUCAUUUCUUCCUAAAACUGUGAAGUCACAUUCAAAAAAUUAAUAUAAAUGACAAAAUAGUAGGAGCAACUAGAAUACUGUUAACAUACAAACUUUCUAAGUAAAACAGAGCAGAAGAAUCUACAGAAACAAGGAAACAGACAGAAAUUUACUGUUUUUUUUUUAAUAGCUCGAUUACUUUGUUUCUAAGAACUUGAUAAAAAGUUAGAAACCCAUGGUCUUAUAAAGAGUAUUAGUAAUGUUGAUUAAAAACAACAGUGAAGAAAACUCAUUAAAACAAAGGUAAAACUUGAAAUACUAGAAAUACUAACUGUGGAAUUACUAUAUUCAUGAAAACAUAACACUUCAAAAUGACUUACUUUAAUAAUAAUAAAAAAAAUGAAAGAAUAUGGCCACUAAACCCCAACCUCUACCAGCUUUAUAAGGCACCAUCUACUUCUCAGAAUUAGGAACAGACUCAUGAAACUGAACCAAUUUGUUCAACAGAUGUUUCAGUUAACCCAAAGGAAUUUUUACUUUUCUAUUGUAGAAAUAAAGAGCCAUGAAUAAAAUUCCACUGUUAUUAGCAGCUUUCAAAAUAUAUUAGCUCAAAAUCAGCUUCCAUCCCCAUUAUUUCCUCCACCUAAACAGAGAACAUUUUCCAUGCCGGCCGAGACGUGUCGCUGAAAUAAAGUAGGCGCAUUGAUAACGCAGCUUCCCCUCCCACCCCAUUUCAUGGCACACACAGGAACGGUACAGUUUUUAUUUUGCUUGGCAUUCCUCUCUCCGCGUUAGCCGAUAAUCCUCCCCACAUAGCCGUGCCAACGUGGUGCCCCGCGGCUCCCCUGCUGCUCCGGCCCCCUGCCUUCCCCCAGCAGCCGCCGUGCGCUGGGCGAGCGUUUUGUAAUAGGCGCUGUUGCAUCAGUCUAAUUGCAACAUCAUUCCCAAUGCUCUAGCUGGCUAUGGACAUCGCACUGGGAAAACACGAAUCCUGAGGCUGAAGAAAUGCAGCUGAAAUUCUGACCUCAAGCCAUUCUGAUACUUUGUGCACACACAUUAUUGGAGCUGACAGCAUCAAAAAAUGCCCUGCUUCUUAUACCCCAAAUCAUACUACAUGAUAUGAACAUCCAGACUAAAAUCCGUCUGUAAAGGCAAGCACUAACAGGAGGAAAUGUCACAAGAUCUUUCUGCAGACACCCAAAAGAAAUGGGGAAACUGCUUUUGCUCCUGUGGAAGACAAAUGGAAUAGGCUGCAUCUAUCACAAGAGAAAAAAUACUUCAUUUCUAGUGUUCCCCAAGUGCAAGUGGAAGCAAAUGGAAAAGCUGCCAUAGCCACAGCUCAGUGCAGGCCAUAGCUUUCACCAAGUUAUUCAUGUUGUCAGGCAAGGCAGAGUACAAAGAAAUUUGGACUACUUAUAAGUUAAAGCAGCUACAGAGAGCUUCACUCUUGUCUAUGACACUCGGUCACACUCGUUGCACCUCUUUGGAAAGCCCCUGCCAUGUUUCCGUCCUGGUCCAUUUCACAGACUAUUUACCCACCUCAUCAACUCCCUUGGCUCACAUGAGCACAACUCCUCCCUUCAUCCACUUUUUUUGGAAGCUAAGGGCCUUUUAUAUGUUUGUUACCUGACUGGUUUCUAACCAGGCAGGCCAGUUUUUACUGUUGUCUUAAUGACUGUGGAUGAGACAACUGAAUUUUCCAGUUUUAUGAGUAGACACUCCACAGCAGGAUGUGUCGAAAUGCCUGUGUACAGGUCUGGCCAUGGCUGUGCGUGCUCCUGGCUUUUGCACCACAUCUGGGCUGUCCCUUUGGCAUGACUUGUAGCCCUACUCAUGCCAGGGCAUCUCGACACACACACCAAGCAUCUUUGGAUGCAUAUUAUAUAUAUUUUUUUAAAAUAACUGAUCAGCUGGCAAGCCUAACCUUCUAUUUUUCUCCUCUUGCAUGUCAGCAGUACCAUCAGUCUGCCAUUUCACCCCAAAAAAAGAGGUUUUGUACAUCACUAUUUGAUAACACUAGGGAUUCCUGUGUCACAUUCCCUCCACCUCGCCUUUCACCUCACUUCCCAUGCACCUCAAAUCCUCAUUCCCAGCCUAUUCAGGUCUUUCAGAGUGCCAGCCAUGCUAGGAGGAUGGGCAGAAAGUGAGCUGGGGAUAUUCUGCUGGAAGGUGUUAACGGCUACCAUCAAAUGGCUCUUUGAUCUGCAGACAAUUAUGGAGCUGGGCCUGCUCACCAGAUGCAGGGGCUCCUUCUUUCCCCCAUUUCUUCCUUCUGCAGUACAGACGCACAGAAAUGCCAUCAACUUUAGUGCAAGGCCCUAUAAAGCAAUUAUGGUUUUAUUUAUUCAAAAAGAAAAGGUCUAUUUUGCUUUCACAGAGGGAGAUGUCAGAAAGAGUUUGCAAACCAACAGCUUAAUUUGGAAAGGGACUCCUUUGUCACAAUCCCUGUAUGCUUAAGAGCUGUCUGAGUCUCACAUGCAAUUCAAUUGCUGAGGUUUAACAAAACUUAUUUUAAGAAGUUCUUACCACUAACUUGCUUUUUUUUUUUUUUAAGAAAAAAAAAAAGUGCUUUCAAAUACAAGAUAAAAAGCAUAUGGCAUUGUUUUAGUGCUUUCUACUAAUUAGUAGUGAUUUCUUUAGAUGGGGCAAGAAAAUGACAACUUUUUUCCUCAACUGGCAGUGAACAGCCAAUUCAGUAAGCUGCAUUUUUGUUUUCUGUGAGAGGGCAGUGGAAAAAUCUCUUUCAUUUAUUAGGUCUACAGAGACCAAAACUGGCCGGGUGUCAAACCUGCUUUGUAAAAGCCCAAAUUCAUUCAGCCAUGCACAGAUAUUCCAUAGUUUUUACAACCUGUUAUCAGUAUCAACUUAACAGAAUAUGAACCUUUGGUGUCUUCCAACAAGUGUUACUGCAAAUCUAUAAAAGAGAGCAAAAAAAUGAACUGACAA
This is a non-coding RNA of Anas platyrhynchos (mallard), 4015 nucleotides long. The record is from RefSeq and is a predicted model, not a curated record. Lineage: Eukaryota; Metazoa; Chordata; Aves; Anseriformes; Anatidae.